This 497-nucleotide ribosomal RNA is filed under the name uncultured bacterium. Its description in RNAcentral is "partial 16S ribosomal RNA". It matches the Rfam family "Bacterial small subunit ribosomal RNA", at positions 28 to 507 of the family's 1533-position model. The record is from RNAcentral.
GAUGAACGCUGGCAGCGUGCCUAAUACAUGCAAGUCGAGCGAACAGACGAGGAGCUUGCUCCUCUGACGUUAGCGGCGGACGGGUGAGUAACACGUGGAUAACCUACCUAUAAGACUGGGAUAACUUCGGGAAACCGGAGCUAAUACCGGAUAACAUGUUGAACCGCAGGGUUCAACAGUGAAAGACGGUGGUGCUGGAAGUUAUAGAUGGAUAUCAGCCGCAUUAGCUAGUUGGUAAGGUAACGGGUUACCAAGGCAACGAUGCGUAGCCGACCUGAGAGGCUGAUAGGCCACACUGGAACUGAGACACGGUCCAUGCUCCUGCGGGACGCAGCAGUCGCGAAUCUUCCGCAGUGGGCGAAAGCCUGACGGAGCGACGCCGCGUGAGUGACGAAGGUCUUCGGUUCGUAAAACUCUGUUAUUAGGGAAGAACCACUUUGUAAGUAACUAUGCACGUCUUGACGGUACCUAGUCAGAAAGCCACGGCUAACUACGUG